GACGAACGCUGGCGGCGUGCUUAACACAUGCACGUCGAACGGUAAGGCCCUUCGGGGUACACGAGUGGCGAACGGGUGAGUAACACGGGGGUGAUCUGCCCUGCACUUCGGGAUAAGCCUGGGAAACUGGGUCUAAUACCGGGUAGGACCCCUGCCUGCAUGGGUGGUGGUGUAAAGCUUUUGCGGUGUUGGAUGGGCCCGCGGCCUAGCAGCUUGUUGGUGGGGUGAUGGCCUACCAAGGCGACGACGGUUAGCCGGCCUGAGAGGGUAACCGGCCACACUGGGAAUGAGAUACGACCCAGACUCCUACGGGAGGCAGCAGUGGGGAAUAGUGCACAAUGGGCGCAAGCCUGAUGCAGCGACGCCGCGUGAGGGAUGACGGCCUUCGGGUUGUAAACCUCUUUCAGCACCGACGAAGCGCAAGUGACGGUAGGUGCAGAAGAAGGACCGGCCAACUACGUGCCAGCCGCCGCCGUAA
Molecule: ribosomal RNA, 478 nt
Filed under: uncultured bacterium
Lineage: Bacteria
Description: partial 16S ribosomal RNA
Rfam family: Bacterial small subunit ribosomal RNA
Source: RNAcentral